RNAcentral lists this ribosomal RNA (419 nucleotides) under bacterium. RNAcentral's name for it is "partial 16S ribosomal RNA". It matches the Rfam family "Bacterial small subunit ribosomal RNA", at positions 355 to 776 of the family's 1533-position model. The record is from RNAcentral.
UGGGGGAUAUUGCACAAUGGGCGAAAGCCUGAUGCAGCGACGCCGCGUGGGGGAUGAAGGCCUUCGGGUUGUAAACUUCUUUUGCUCUGAACAAGGCAUGCUAAUGGGUGUGUUGAGUGUAGGGGUUGAUUAGCGCCGGCUAACUACGUGCCAGCAGCCGCGGUAAUACGUAGGGCGCGAGCGUUGUCCGGAAUUAUUGGGCGUAAAGGGCUUGUAGGUGGCUGGUUGCGUCUGUCGUGAAAGCUCAUGGCUUAACUGUGGGUUUGCGGUGGGUACGGGCUGGCUUGAGUGCAGUAGGGGAGGCUGGAAUUCCUGGUGUAGCGGUGGAAUGCGCAGAUAUCAGGAGGAAUACCGGUGGCGAAGGCGGGUCUCUGGGCUGUUACUGACACUGAGGAGCGAAAGCACGGGGAGCGAACAGG